CUGAGGGGAAAGUGUGUGUCCGUGCAUCUUUCACUCAUUACUCCACUUUUCAGAUAACUGUGGAUGAUGUGAUCCAUGGAAAUAUCCCGACCGUGGCGGGCGACUGUUGGGAGACAACGUUUGCAGCCAGCUGAAGCGUCAAAAGUUUUGGUGCGGAGAAGUCCACCUGAGCGAUCGUGACUGACCCCACCACCUCCUUCUCCAGUGGAUUGGAAAAAAAGAUCAGACCAGAGAGUUAAGUAAGAGCCAGCACCUCCUGAUCCACUCAGCUCCUUCCUCCUCGCCGCGCUCAGUGUGAGUGAAGUGCGAGACAAAGUAAUCUUCAGAUACAUGGGGGCCAUCACUGGUUUUAGGAUCUAUCACCGUUUUGUGGAGGUAUUUAUCAAGUUUUGUGUCUUAAUUUGACUUGUUU
Molecule: long non-coding RNA, 412 nt
Organism: Solea senegalensis (Senegalese sole)
Lineage: Eukaryota; Metazoa; Chordata; Actinopteri; Pleuronectiformes; Soleidae
Exons: 4
Source: RefSeq, a predicted model, not a curated record